This 468-nucleotide ribosomal RNA is filed under the name uncultured bacterium. RNAcentral's name for it is "partial 16S ribosomal RNA". It matches the Rfam family "Bacterial small subunit ribosomal RNA", at positions 28 to 507 of the family's 1533-position model. The record is from RNAcentral.
GACGAACGCUGGCGGCGUGCUUAACACAUGCAAGUCGAACGGAAAGGCCCUGCUUUUGUGGGGUGCUCGAGUGGCGAACGGGUGAGUAACACGUGAGUAACCUGCCCUUGACUUUGGGAUAACUUCAGGAAACUGGGGCUAAUACCGGAUAGGAGCUCCUGCUGCAUGGUGGGGGUUGGAAAGUUUCGGCGGUUGGGGAUGGACUCGCGGCUUAUCAGCUUGUUGGUGGGGUAGUGGCUUACCAAGGCUUUGACGGGUAGCCGGCCUGAGAGGGUGACCGGCCACAUUGGGACUGAGAUACGGCCCAGACUCCUACGUGAGGCAGCAGUGGGGAGUAUUGCACAAUGGGCGGGAGCCUGAGGCAGCAACGCCGCGUGCGGGAUGACGGCCUUCGGGUUGUAAACCGCUUUCGCCUGUGACGAAGCGUGAGUGACGGUAAUGGGUAAAGAAGCACCGGCUAACUACGUG